This 467-nucleotide ribosomal RNA is filed under the name uncultured bacterium. RNAcentral describes it as "partial 16S ribosomal RNA". It matches the Rfam family "Bacterial small subunit ribosomal RNA", at positions 28 to 506 of the family's 1533-position model. The record is from RNAcentral.
GACGAACGCUGGCGGCGCGCCUAACACAUGCAAGUCGAACGGAGCUGCGAGAAGCUUGCUUUUCUUAGCUUAGUGGCGAACGGGUGAGUAACGCGUGAGUAACCUGCCCUGGAGUGGGGGACAACAGUUGGAAACGACUGCUAAUACCGCAUAAGCCCACGAUCCGGCAUCGGAUUGAGGGAAAAGGAUUUAUUCGCUUCAGGAUGGACUCGCGUCCAAUUAGCUAGUUGGUGAGGUAACGGCCCACCAAGGCGACGAUUGGUAGCCGGACUGAGAGGUUGAACGGCCACAUUGGGACUGAGACACGGCCCAGACUCCUACGGGAGGCAGCAGUGGGGGAUAUUGCACAAUGGGGGAAACCCUGAUGCAGCGACGCCGCGUGGAGGAAGAAGGUUUUCGGAUUGUAAACUCCUGUCGGUAGGGACGAUAAUGACGGUACCUAACAAGAAAGCACCGGCGAACUACGU